UCGAGCGGUAGAGAGAAGCUUGCUUCUCUUGAGAGCGGCGGACGGGUGAGUAAUGCCUAGGAAUCUGCCUGGUAGUGGGGGAUAACGUUCGGAAACGGACGCUAAUACCGCAUACGUCCUACGGGAGAAAGCAGGGGACCUUCGGGCCUUGCGCUAUCAGAUGAGCCUAGGUCGGAUUAGCUAGUUGGUGGGGUAAUGGCUCACCAAGGCGACGAUCCGUAACUGGUCUGAGAGGAUGAUCAGUCACACUGGAACUGAGACACGGUCCAGACUCCUACGGGAGGCAGCAGUGGGGAAUAUUGGACAAUGGGCGAAAGCCUGAUCCAGCCAUGCCGCGUGUGUGAAGAAGGUCUUCGGAUUGUAAAGCACUUUAAGUUGGGAGGAAGGGUUGUAGAUUAAUACUCUGCAAUUUUGACGUUACCGACAGAAUAAGCACCGGCUAACUCUGUGCCAGCAGCCGCGGUAAUACAGAGGGUGCAAGCGUUAAUCGGAAUUACUGGGCGUAAAGCGCGCGUAGGUGGUUAGUUAAGUUGGAUGUGAAAUCCCCGGGCUCAACCUGGGAACUGCAUUCAAAACUGACUGACUAGAGUAUGGUAGAGGGUGGUGGAAUUUCCUGUGUAGCGGUGAAAUGCGUAUAUAUAGGAAGGAACACCAGUGGCGAAGGCGACCACCUGGACUGAUACUGACACUGAGGUGCGAAAGCGUGGGGAGCAAACAGGAUUAGAUACCCUGGUAGUCCACGCCGUAAACGAUGUCAACUAGCCGUUGGGAGCCUUGAGCUCUUAGUGGCGCAGCU
RNAcentral lists this ribosomal RNA (796 nucleotides) under uncultured bacterium. RNAcentral describes it as "bacterial SSU rRNA". It matches the Rfam family "Bacterial small subunit ribosomal RNA", at positions 62 to 853 of the family's 1533-position model. The record is from RNAcentral.